AGCAGAGCGUAGUGCAGCUUGGUAGCGCGUGGCACUGCGGUUGCAAAGGUCGCAGGUUGGAAUCUCUCUUUCCGCUA
Molecule: transfer RNA, 77 nt
Filed under: Halomonas sp. HAL1
Lineage: Bacteria; Pseudomonadati; Pseudomonadota; Gammaproteobacteria; Oceanospirillales; Halomonadaceae
Description: tRNA-OTHER
Source: RNAcentral